CAUAUGUCUCCAGAAUGAAGAACAGCACAUUUCUACGUAAAGAGAAGUGCAGCACUAGCUUCGGGAUACUUGGUGAGGUCCAUGAUGCAGGCGAUGGUUGCUGUUAUGCUGUGGAGAAAGGGAGGAAUAUUGAUUGAACCAUUUCAGUGGGAAUGUUCCCCAGAUGCACAUACAUCUGCCUGGAGCAGCUGUUCAGUCUUUGAUUUUCAGUGAUUGUGGGAACCCUGUCUGCAAUAUCUUUUUGCAGUAUUAAUACACUUGGUGUCUCUCAGCUGAAGGUCCUGGGGGACUGGUCCUGUUGACCCUCCUAAAUACCCAUAAACCAUGCAAACUUUAAUGUCCCAGAACUUUACCACAAGAUGGCAGCAGUCCUCUCUGCCCACACGCAUGCAACUGCACCACCAACAGAUUUUCAUUAAUGUACCAUUUUAUUAAAUGCACAACUUCCCAGUCACUCUUUCUCUUCACUUUAAUCUUAUGAUGCUGAUUGCCUUGCCUCAAGACAUACCAGCAAUUGCCACUGCAGUUAUUGUCAUGGGACCUGAACAAGAAGUAGUCCGUAAUGAAAGGCACUGGACCAUUUUACCACAGAUCAGCCC
Molecule: long non-coding RNA, 599 nt
Organism: Sinocyclocheilus grahami
Lineage: Eukaryota; Metazoa; Chordata; Actinopteri; Cypriniformes; Cyprinidae
Exons: 4
Source: RefSeq, a predicted model, not a curated record